Molecule: long non-coding RNA, 1136 nt
Filed under: Gallus gallus (chicken)
Lineage: Eukaryota; Metazoa; Chordata; Aves; Galliformes; Phasianidae
Description: lncRNA (ENSGALG00010022047.1)
Source: RNAcentral
GUGAGGCCCGCGGCGAGUAGAUAGCUGGGAUUGGAAAGCUAUCUCCUUAGUAAUAAUUUUAUUUCUUCAGUUUCGUGGGUUUUUUUGGUAGCGUUUUGGUGAACGCGGGGGUUGGAGCGGCCGCCUCCCGCUCUGUGAGGGAACGGCUGUGGGCUCCGCUGUGCGGGACCCUCCGUCGGCCUUUGUGCCCGUAGCAAAGCACUGCGUGCUGCGAGGCGUGGCUGAAGCCAACAGGUGCGAACUCAAGUGUUAAAGUAGAUUAAGAAUACAUCUCAGAUCAAAUUCCUUCUCCAGAAGAAGCGGUGCUGCUCAGUUUUUCUGGCAGGAUAGUUUUCCUGUUUGUUUUUCUCAUCAGCUGCGGCACCCCAGAAAUAACUGCGGUGCCUUUCGCUUCUGCUGCCAUUUUGGAGCUGCUUCCCAGAGAGAGGAGAUGAGGUUCCACUUGUAGGAAUUCCCUCCCCCCAUGGCAGGACAGGCGCUAUCAGAACCAGGAGGUGUGCUGGAGGAGGAUUGCUUUGCUCCUGGCUGAUGGACUAAAGUAAACAUAGAGAAAAAGGUGCACACAGUCAUCAUUGUCAUCAGCAACUGGAGAUGGACUAGAAGAAUGUAACGGAGCACACAUCUGGCAGCGUGACAUUAUUCCUAUGGGGUGCAAUGUGCCCUCUGUGCACGGAAUCAUCACUGUGGAUUUCUGCUUCAGUCCUGUGGGCAUGAGCUGUACUGUGUGUGCACUGAGGAGAGCCAGAAAGGAGCACGGAGUCAUCACCUGAGGGGAAACAAAAUUCAGAAACGAGGAGGGGAAAUUUCGGUGCUUAUUUUUAGACUCUGUGGAGAGAAGAGAAGCAAGACCCAGGAGAGGAGCAGCAUUCUGCGUGCAGGUCACAGGUGCUAAAAAGGAGAAAGGUACGCUCUUUUGUUUUCUUUACUUUGUUCAAAGUGCAAACGUUCCUAAGCUUGGGUUACAGAGAGACAAUACACUUGUCUUCCUCAAUGGAGUGGCCACUACUUACGCAUCUACCUAUAAACCACCUCCCCAUAUACAGUCUCAUAAUUACCAAUUUUAUUUUUACUGCUCCUGGACUGGAUCUUGCCACUACUUGGAGCACAGUAAAAUCUCUCAGUAACCUCAUGUAUGG